GAUGAACGCUGGCGGCGUGCCUAAUACAUGCGAGUCGAGCGAACAGACGAGGAGCUUGCUCCUCUGACGUUAGCGGCGGACGGGUGAGUAACACGUGGAUAACCUACCUAUAAGACUGGGAUAACUUCGGGAAACCGGAGCUAAUACCGGAUAAUAUAUUGAACCGCAUGGUUCAAUAGUGAAAGACGGUUUUGCUGUCACUUAUAGAUGGAUCCGCGCCGCAUUAGCUAGUUGGUAAGGUAACGGCUUACCAAGGCGACGAUGCGUAGCCGACCUGAGAGGGUGACCGGCCAACCUGGAACUGAGACACGGUCCAGACUCCUAGGGGAGGCAGCAGUAGGGAAUCUUCCGCAAUGGGCGAAAGCCUGACGGAGCAACGCCGCGUGAGUGAUGAAGGUCUUCGGAUCUUAAAACUCUGUUAUUAGGGAAGAAAAAAUGUGUAAGUAACUAUGCACGUCUUGACGGUACCUAAUCAGAAGGCCACGGCUAACUACGUG
Molecule: ribosomal RNA, 497 nt
Filed under: uncultured bacterium
Lineage: Bacteria
Description: partial 16S ribosomal RNA
Rfam family: Bacterial small subunit ribosomal RNA
Source: RNAcentral